UGUGAGGUGUUUGCACUCCUCGGCAGGCUUUAUUUGCUAACCGGGAGUCCCUUCAGGGGGUGAAGCCACUAAUGCAGCACAAAAAGACCUUUGCUCUCCCCACAAAAAGAUCUCUGCUCUCCCAAAACGCUUCUCACAGUUUAACUGCUCCGGCUGAGGGGGGCUUGGCAGAGGGCAGAGCGUGGGAGCAGCCUGAAAUGGGUCUGGUGUCCUGCACGGCUGCGUGUUCUGCAGCCCUCCGAGAGGAAGGAGGAAAAGGGGGUUGAGCAGAAGCUUGGCUGGAGCUGGCAUGUGCCCAUGGGCGGCUGCGAGCAUCCUGCCAGCCCGUCCGCCGCUAUUUUCUAGAAACAAAGUGUUUUGAGAAGAGGGAAAAGAUAAAUGGCUUCCUCACCUCUGUGGGUUGUUUUAAUCUGCAGUGACUGUAUUUCAUGAGUUUGUUGCUUUUAGGAGAAACUGAUUGUUGCUAUGGAAAUUGAAGCAGCUCUUUUCCCGGCUAUGUGUAUUUAGGUAGUCCAGGGCAGUGAUAAAAACCCAGUGCUGGAGUAGCAGCACAAUUGGCUCGGGCUCUGCUGAAGGUCAGUUUGUGCACUGAAGUGAGACACGGGGGCUCAGCUCCUCUGUGCGUGUUUAUGCGUGAGCACUAAUUACCCUCCUGUGCUUCCAGUGCCCCUCGCUCCAGAGCCGAUGAGCAGAAGUUAACUUCCAUGCGAAGUGUGAACAUCUGGAGACACUGAGCAUCUAGACACCAUCUGGCGCAGAUCACUUCAGCAGUGCUUGCAGUCAGCCGGCAAGGAGGAGGGGCAAAAGCAGUGGCACAGUGAAAACACCAGCUUGCCCGCAGCAGUAUGGGGUGCAGGGGCACAGGUCGUGCUGGGAGGCAAUGUGAGAGCUGAGGAACUCGGGGACAUGCCAGGAAUGGAUGGGCAUCAGGAACCUGGCUCUGCUGUGUCACGCUUCAGCAUCAUAACCAUCAGCAAUACCAUGAAGCAUCAGCCAAAGCCUAUUUUAAGAGAGGUACUGCAUUAUUUUUACAUCUAGACUUCAUAUACCUCUCCUAAGGACACUUCAAAGUCUUAUGUGUUCAUUAGAUCACAAAAAUUAACCAUUUCAGAGGGCUGUUUGACCUUUAAGCAUCUCUAUUGACCUCCAGGAGUCACUUGAGGCUGACUUGAGGCUACAUCGACAUAGUAGCUGAGCAGUGUUUUUCUUCAAUGCUUGUUAUUUUUAAAUUCUUCUAUGUCUUCCAUGCACAUGAGUCACUAAUGGAACCCUUCAUCAGCUGAAACUUAUCUCUGAAGGGUGCGGUGGCUUUGGUGACCCACCCAUGCUAACCAGAAGUGCAUGAGGCAGCUCUGGACCCCGGCAGCCGCUGGAAACCAGCCGGACGCAUUUGAGAAGCGAGCUGGGGUUUUGAGUGCCCUGCACGGGUUUGUUUCUGACUGAGCUCCUUGUCAUCCCUACAGGCCUUAUUCUGCGCAGCGGUAUGUGACACCGUGUUUAAAACAUUUACUCUUCAGAGUGGAAAUGCUUUUAUGGUAAAAAACAGACUCAGUGUUGCCCUGCUGCCAUGCUGUUUCUAACCGAAACCCCACAUGCCACCCGUUUCCCUCUGCCCCAUCCCUUCAGAUUUGAUUUACCCUGCUUUUUCUCUCACCAGCCUUGUCGGAAGUACCAGGAUGCCAAAGAAACCAGUGAUGCAGCGUGCAGAUGAAGUGCAGAAGCUUUGUUACAGAUGUUGGAAGGAUGUAUGUGGACCAAAAGCUUUGGAUGGUUCGGGAAGAAAAAAAAUAGUGAACAAUCUAAGAACAUUCUUGAUGGAGAGUGGACCAACGAGUACUCCCCUCAAAAAAACACAGGUGGAAGUAUUGCGAAGCGGACCCGGUGUCCCCGGCGUGCACACACGCACGCACACCCACCCGAGCACACGGCCGGCGCCGAGAGCACCCAAGGGACCAGAAGCAAAGGGGGGGCUGGCAGGCGAUGCGGGCAGAGCAGCCCCACCCGUCGGGGUCAGAUGCCCUGAUGAGCACCCGACUUGACUCUGCUGGGAGCAGCGGAGCUACUGAUGAGUGGGCAGCUUUGAGGGAGGGCAUCAACCACCCAGCGUGAGAUACCAACCAGGUUAAAAUCUGUGAAAUCGCCUGCAUGCAGGUGUGCAGCAGCAGCGCGGACCAGCUUGGACUGCCCCUGGAAGGGCGACUGCAGCCACAGCCCUGGAGUCACUAAGUUAAAAUCGGGUUUAUGUGCCGCAGCCUGAACUCGUUCAGGCUGCUGUGCGUGAGAAAACCUCCACGUGAAGCCAACAAACAUCGACUUAGUUGCGCUGGUGGACAUCUCAGCAACCUGUCUGUAUUCCAAAAGUGUCUGGAUUUCAUUUGGUGCGUGUCGCAGAGUGCCGUUCCUCUUGGAAGCACGCACAGGCAGCGGAUGAACUCAUGGGAACUGCAGUCACGCUGCUGUGGGAGCAGGCACCCCCCGAGGGAAGGGAUUUCAGACUGGCUGCACCAAACGCCUCUGGUAAGAAGAGAGCCAGGGCUAAGUGCCUGCUCCUGCUCCUCCAGGCACCUCAGGGCUGCUCAGAGCCUCCCGGAGCCCCUCACCCAUGGACAGGGCUGCACAAGGGGGGCUGUGCGUGCCUGUGCUCCACACGCUCCCUCUGUUUGACAAUAAUCAACUUGCCAUCAAGUUUCAAUUUUAAAUCACACCGCAAACAUCGCUGCUUCAUUCAGGCAUCCUCCAAAAAAACCACAUUGCAAACGCAGGCACAUGCGCAGCCAUCCCCGAGGCUGACGGAGCCCCUGCAGUCCGCAUCAAUUACUGUACAAACACAGAGCGAGCGGUACAAUGAGAGGCUAUGUGUGAGAUCUGAUUAAUGUAUUAGUAUCAAAUUUCAGAGGAAAACAUGGAUUAUUUAAGCCAAGACAUGUCCCAUUGCUGUGCUCAGCUUGCCCAUAACUGGGGGCUCCAGCCUGCCUGCAGCUCAAGUGUACUGUGCAUACAGCUCCAUGCCAAAAUUUUGCCCACCGCACACCCAGGUGACUCUGGGGGUCCAGGGAUUUGGGGGGACAAGGGCAUAAGCUGAUAGCAAUGGAGUGUGGCAGAGCACAAGGAGCAAGUCCUUUUGCCUUGAUGUUAGAAAAAGAACUGUUAUGUUUGCUCUUUGCUUGGGUACCUGUGAAAGCAAAAUCCAUCUGCAGGAGUGCAGAUAACUGGUGAGCAAGGCAAACGGUCUGAACGUGUCAGCUAAUUGGAAGGCAAAAUUCAUACUCAUUUUAACUGUGGGCAACCUGUGAAGACUCUGCCUGCCCUAUAGACUGCACCUGGCUGUAAGCCCACCUCUUUUUAUAAUUUGGUAGGAAAAAAACCGUACAACUCCGAUUUGAGCCUUUUUCCCCAAGGUCAAAAUUGUUCACUUAGCCAGCUAACUGUUCUGGCUUGGAGGGAGCCACAUAACCCGAGGGUACGGGGACAGCAGUGUGGCGGGAUGCCGACCUGCGCAUCCUUCCUCAAAUGGCAGCACAAGAUGGCUCUGAAGUGCUGUAAGCAAGCAUCGAUCAAAGAAAUUAUGUUUACCCACCGGCUAUUGCACUGUCGCUGUGUAAAUAUCAUCAGGGAUGGACCAAGGAAGAAUUAUUAGACUGAUAACCACUGUUCCCAUCUGAGAGCAGUGAUAUCCAGGUGAAAAACAGUUGUGAAGAAUAAUGAAGUGCUCCUGUCUCUUGUGCGGGUUUGUGGUUUUACAAAUCCCGUUACUAAAGGGCUUCUCUGCCGCAGCAAGCGCCGUGCGAGUGGACCAGCGGCUGCACCAUUUGCCCAAGCUGAAGGUCGCGGAGGUCCCGGGCAGCCAAAUGGCAUGUGUGCUCCUGUGCUGGUGAGGAAUCAAGAGAGGAAAUAAUAGCAAAAUGAUCUUAAUCCAAGUGGACCUAGUUAAGGGCUCACAAAAAUUCAAAUACAUCCCUUCAGUGAAGUGACACAGGUUUCGAAAAUACCUGUGUGACUUGGGAUCCUCAGGUUUGUGUUCAUUUAACCAGGAGUUAGGUACCCAGGUCCCUUUCACAGUCACUUCUUGUGUUCCACUUUAAAGUGAUUUAAAGGCUGAGAAGCUGCAGUUUCUUUCAAAGCCUGUAGGUUUUUGUAUGCCACAAUACCUCGGGGAAAAAAGAAAACCUUUAAGCAUCCUACAGCAACUGGCGAUGUUUCAAAAUUUGCCCACGCACUGAGAAGACACCUGGCCCGACAGCACGUGUAAGGCUGACAGGUAACUAAGGGACAACAGACCAGAGGGGAGAGGACUAGAGCUACCACAGGUGUCCCUUUCCAGAGAAUAAGAUAGGUGCUGUUUGGGCAAAAAGCAUCCUCCUGCCCCGCUCUGCUUCCCGGGGGGGCUGAGCCCUGCACGAGCCCGGCCCCAAGCCAGCACUCUCGGUAUUUCAUAUUUUCAUCCACAAUGAUUUUAUAAAGCAGUCGGACGCUAAAGAAUUCUAGCACAGUAGUUUGCCAUCAAGGAAACCGCAAGCAACAAACAAAGAUGUUAUCUCUAACAUAUGGUUCUUAUUUGAGGAAAUAUGUCUGGUUACAUUAAUUGACACAAUAUGGCUCGAGGCUGUUUUGUGUUUUAUAACUACUCGUGGGUUCCCUUAGCAACAGCAAAGCCCACGACAUGGAUCCAGAGCCAAAAACACAAGAGCAGGACCCACCACCCUUCCCCUCCGCCCCGUCUGUGUCCUCAGCAGCCAAGCACCGGUGCUGCCUGCAGACGCCAGCAGGCACUGACCUCGCAGCUGCGUUCUGCAGCUCUUCUUGGGCCGGCGGGUCCUGUCAGGAAAUGUGAUGCCCAUCCACCCUUUUCAACACCCCCCAAUACCUGAGAGCAGUUAAGCAGCUGUGCUCGGGGAUUCCCGGGAUAACUGUCCCGGGUGCCCAGCAGCCGCCUCUGCUUCAGCCCCUGCCUACAGGAUGCUGCGCAGCCCUCGGGCACGCUCAGGUACAGGCAGUAUGAGCGGGCAAGGUCCUGUCUUCAAGAGACUUUAGGAAGCUGCUGGGUUUUUGAAAGAUUGGCAAAAAAAAAGGGUUGGGUACCCAAAGGCAGCCAGGCAACUGGAGGGAGGAGCUGCUCCCAGCCGGGCACCAGCUCCUCAAGCCCUUCCCAAAUGCCAGUGCCGGGCGCUUCCAGCCACCUCAGCACAUGGUGCUCCGCAGCUGUAGGUGCUUCGUGAGCUUUGCAAACCUGCUGAGCACCCAUAGCACUGCAGGCAUUUCAGGGAGAGGUGGGUGCUAAAAUACCUUUCGGGAUCUGGGCUGAAAGCAACGAAUUCUUUUUCAUUUAAGUCCCAUCAGCUGGUAAGGGUGGGACCUCAGCUCCUGCGUGGACGUCCACCUCCACGGGUGGCUUUACAAGCACCACAGCCACCUUUCAGCAGUGCGGCAUCCCCCAGUAGCCCACUUUCCCAGGCCAACAUGUCUUCAGACCACGGCAUUGGCACCCGGCGCUACACGGGCAGGGUUACUCACAGGAUGCAUCUUGAGCUGUAGCUUUAAAAUGAGCACAGUUACACCCCAGAGCAGGGGUUGGAGGAGUAACUACAAUUAGUCAUGUUUGGAGACAUGGCUGUAGCACUUCAGUAUUGGAACAGAAAGUGGGAGCUGUGACAGACCCUUGGGCUUGGCUGGCUGCACUCAGAGCUUCUUAAUCCUCAUUUAGAUACCGAAACAGAGUGCCCUGAUUUUCAGAAGAGCCAAGCAGCCAUAGCUUCCACUGUCUGUAAUGAAUAUAUUUCCAAAACCCAGUUACUUCCAUGUGGGUACCUAAACGAGGGUCUGGGACCCUGCCUUUGGGCAUGCGACUCAACGAGUUCUGUUUUGCGUGUUGCAAACGAAGGGAGGGUUACUAGUAACUACUCUGGCGUUAAGGGAUGCCCUUCUCCAUAAGGAGAUUGGCCCGAAAGAGUACAGGGUGACACAGCGAUGGGGUGGGUGUUGGUAAAAUUCUGAGCAUAGAAAAGUAUGGCACAGCUGUUAAUAUGAUGCAAGCAAAGUAAGCGAUAUGAGCGACUCCAUGGCAACUAAGUGAAAGCAAAGGUAAACGGUGAGAAAGCAGCCUCUGGGCUUUCUCACCGAGGGAUCCAGGCUCAGCAAGUACCAAGACACUCACGGGGGAAGGGGGGGGAAGCAAGGCAGCGUGACAGCUGUCGCAUCUUACUCACCGUGGAGAGAAGGCAGGUUCCCAGGGCUCCCAGCCUUUCCAGUAGAAAUUUCUCUUUCCUCACCUUCCAACCCAAGCUGUAUGAAAUGAAAUGGUGCGAAGUGAGAAAAUUUGGAGAGUCUUCUAAGGAAAGGUGAUCCCCCCAGAAGCGUUCUCCUUUCUCAAGCCCCCAAGGGAACUACUUGGAAAAUACGCUGUUUUCCUCAAGCAGAUGCUUUCAGGUUACUUCUUACCUCAUCCUCACCUACAUUCCUGGGGAAGUAACGUGGACUUUCAGCCUUUGUAUUGAACGUCUUCACCUUGUGAGGUUAAACUAGGCUGCAGACUCUGAGCACCUCCUGGGCUCAAAGGUGUAGGAGUUUGUCAAGGAUAAUGCAGAGCGGGGGGAAAGCACCAGCACUACGCCGGCCAGCAAUGCACGUGAUCUGCAUGGUGGCAAGGGGUGUCACAACAGCUUCAUGACUUCUGCAUCACAUUUCCUCAUACAUUCCUCACCACGUUGCACCAGGAGGCUGGUAAAUGAUGCCAAGAUAUCCGAUUGCCCUUUAGGCUCUCCUUCCACAUGCAGAGACUUGUUAGAUACAAAGAUAAAGUCAGGUGGAAAGAGGAGAACAAACUCCUUCAUUUUAACUGGGGGAUGCGGUUUUCCUAGCACCAUCUUAUUAAACUAACACUUGUCCAGCCCUGGGACUGAAACAACGCGUAGCCAAGGUGAUGAGUCGUACAGCCUCCCUUGGCGCGGUGGGCUGGAGGCUGCCCAGCCACGGCCGGGUGGGUGAGCAAGCACCAGGGGUCCUUCCAAUGCCGAGCCGCUCGGCUGGGAGCCCCCUGUUGUCCCAGGGCUCAGCCCCCCAAGGGGCUGGAGACAAAGAGCACAAGAGCACAGGCAAAGGGGGACCCAGCGGGCAACUCGGCCUCAGGUUUACCAAGACAAUAAACCCCCCGUAUGUGGCAUAGAAGAGCAUUCAGGCCAUUGAACCAGGACACGUGUGUACGUCUGAGAACGUACCUUCUACUGCAGGAGAACUGGGUGAAAAUUAAAGUUAUUUAAUGCCAUACCAAAUCCUAGGAAGCCCGAUUUGCAAAGCGACCUGAUGUCAGGCUCCUUUCUUACGUGAGCUAGCAGGCAAUCAGCACCCCAGUGCUGGCACACAGAUGGGCUGAAGGCGGAGUUUGGGAGGCUCAGGGGAGCUCAGGUAGCGCCUGUACAACGAGGAAGGGGCGACGCUGGUGGUAGCAGAGGACCGGCAUCUUCCCUGCAUCCCAGCUGCCUACAGGGAAAGGGGGAGGGUGUGGAAAAGAAGGUGUGAUCGUUGCUGUCUGCAUUGGUUUACUCCUCGCUUAAUUAUGCUUUUGCAAGGCCAGAGAUGAUCUGUCGCCCCUAGAUGAGUUCCUUUAAAGCAAGUCCCCAGAGCAGGCUUUUGCUCUCCCCUGUUACUCACUGUGCUGGCUUUCCAGUUGCUUCUGUAGACUUCAUGCUUAUUACAUAAAACGUGGACUGUGCUGUGAUCAUGGUGCGAGGAUGCUCUGCAGAGCUUCUGCAUCACCCUGCCCAUCCCUGGAUCCCCACGUCUCCAUCACUGCAGCUGCUGUGCCUGCUGGGAGCCAGGCAAUACACCUACGGCUCUCCUGCCCGCAUGCAGCCCAUCGGGCAAGGGACGCUUUCCCUGUAAGAUCGGCGCACGGCACGUUUGUAACGCCCCUGCCCAAAGACAGCCAGAGGAAAGUCUUUCCAUGAAUUUCCAUGAAUACUAGCUCACAGAAAAGCCUGGUCUUCAGAAGCAACUCUUUAUCCUUUUGUUUUAUAGCACAGGAAUUAAAAAUCAAGACGCUCCCCAUAUACAGUUUUAGCAGAUUAAUUACUGCCUCCUUCUAGCUCCCGUAACUGCUUCCACCACCCUUGAAGGAGGUGCUGUUAUUAUUUUAAGAAGGAAUCUACAGAAACAAAACCCAUAAAAAGACAUCAGCAAAUAUAACGAAGUUAGCAAUCGCUGAUCUAUGAAAGCGCUGAGGCAAUGUUGCUACUUGCUUACACCCACAGCACCCGUAAAUCGCUCCGCACAGCUGACCUCUUCCUGGACCAUUCCCAGCUGCUGCCGCUGAUCCUUUUUUGGGUACUUCUCCCAAAACGCACAUGUGGUUCUUUGUUCAGAAUUUUACAAUGACCACUCAGUCCUGGUAACUUAAAACAAAUACUGCAGCUAGCGCAGUGCUUCCCAUGCACAGGGAACAGCUGGAUACAUGGGUGCUGGAAGGGGCUUCCCUCAAAGCCAGCGGCUGCUGGCAGCUGGUGCUCGGCGAGCAGGGGCAGGGGCAGCCCCGUCCACCGCCCCGUGGCAGCACCCUGCCGCCCAGCCCCAGCACCACCUGCGCUUUGUGCAGAAUAGCAGGAAUUUCCAAAAUACAGCGGGGGAUGACAUUUCACCUACAUUUUCAUUUUCUGCUGCUAAACUGCUUUUCACAUGACCUGGAUGUGGAAAAAAAUGUGAUCUCAUAAGUCAAGAGAGGGCAACCCACGUGUUAUUAAUGCUUUCAGCUGCUCUCUCCCAGGGACCUGUACACUGACAAGGCCGUUUGGGCAGGACGGAGAGCACGACCCACAGACCAACCCCAUCAGCUCUCGUGGUGGGUCUCAAGGGUUCUCUCCGAGCGCCUCCGUGACCACCAGAUUUCACCAAGAACUCUACCCGGAGGUCAGAGCAGCUACUUGCCAGCUCGGCGUUAUUCAUUGUAGUAAAGUGGUGGUAGGUCAAAAUAAAUCACUUGCUGUGUCACAUCAAUUGGGAGAUGGAAAAUGUCAUUUAGGUCAUACGGUUCAUCAGCUCCUGCCAGUAUGUUUUCCAUGGCUUUUUUUUCUGUCCCUUUGGAAUGACUCAAGCACAGGAGCCCCACCACUCCUCCCAGAGAUCUCCCACGGCUCACACAGCUCCGUGUGAGGACAUUCUCCUCUGCACAGCACCGAAACUUUCCUGGGCCAAAUGUCAUCCCAUAACUCCCGUUGUGGACCACCCUGAAUUAUUCCACCCUUUUGCUGAUGUUUCUCACCUUCAGUUUUCAUUCUGUGCUGGCCACCACAGCGUCUGAGUUCUGCCUCUGACCUGCAGAGACAUCCCACCAUAGAUGGACGAAGGCAGCGUGUUGCCUGCUGCUCGGAGAGGCGGCCACAAAGACACCUUGGGCAAACAAACCAUCUGCAGUCUGUGCCUCACGUAGACAAAUCCAGACAGCCUCUGAAAUAAUGAAACAACCUCUAAAUAAUUGAGACAACCUCUAAAUUAACAAACUAAAGCAACAGUAUGGCUGUUGUAGAGGAGUUCAAACACUUGAUGAUACCCACCUAAAUUUAGCAAGAAGAGAAUCAGCAGCCUGAACUGCUGUAAUUGAUGAGGAAACUGAGGGAAUGGUCUUCAUCACGCUUAGGAGGCUGGUGGCACUCGUGGCACAUAUUUCCUGGUUGUAUGUAAAUUAAGUGAAGAUGUCACCACACAUAACUUGCUUCCAGCUGCCCAGCGUAGUCACGCUGCAGAUGAGUGGGCUUCAUUUGAAAGUCUGACCUUUGUGAAACAGAGGUGUGGGUCAGGAUGCUGUGAAAAACAGCAGCACUCACAUAGCAGCUGGCUGCACGGCCCUGAAUGAGCAGUUUUACACAAAGAAACCGUCAGAAACUUGGCUUCAAAUUAUUUCUCCUCGGCAUAACAUCGCACUCUUCUCGCAGAAGGGGAGCACUGAGCCACAUGCCCAGAGGAAGCCUGAUCCAAGGCGCACUGCGGUUACGGGCUCCUGUGUGGUCCCAGUGAGCCCGGAGAAGUGCUGGGAUCAGGACUGAUGGUCUGUGCCUUGGAGAGACGAUCAGGGUUUGUUCCUUAGCGCCUGCAUGGAGGGGUGGGAGGCGUCACCCUGCGCCACAACCCUGGCAGCCUGGGCACGCCACGGCCGCAGCUGCAAAAGCCCCAUCACACCCUCUGAACACCUUCCUGCCACCUCCUAAAAAUUAAGGAGAACAAUUCUGCUGCAGCCUGCUUUAAAAAAAAGUUAACAAUUAUCUGUGAAUUUUUGGCAAGAGACUCCACCGGUAUUUUUCUGCAAAGCUGCGACUCCUUAACCGCAGUCAGGGAAGAAGCUGCAGGGCUGAGCAAGGACCGAAAUGAAGAAGCCAGAAAUGCCCCCCAGCCUCCUGUACCUUGGAAAUGCAAUUAUUUCCCUUUAUCCCUCAUCAAGCAACCUGACAGAAGGGGGUGACUUGUUAAAAACCUGCCUCGGAGCUGGCAGGGGGAUGCCAGCCCCCCGCCCGGCCCCCUGCCACGCUGCAUGGGGAGGGCUACCAGAUGCUUGGGCCACAAGUCACAUCCCCCUGCUGGUACCCUGAAAUGGCAACCAUCUCCCGUGCGCCUGUGCAUCCCUCUAACUCCAGCCCUGUCCCAGCAGCGCCCACAGCAGCGCCUGGGCAGGCACUGGGCUCUGCCCUGCAUCCUCCCCAGACCCUACAGAGACCAGUGGAAGUGUGUCUACGUGGGAGCUGGCAGACCUGCGGGGAGGGUGGGUCCCAGGGGGCAGAAGGUGGUGGCUCACAGCAGGGCAAUGGGGAGAGGAGGGAAGGAGACAGCAGUGCCCUGUUUGCAUUGACCCUCUACAACAGCACUGUGUGGAAGAAAAAGGAAAAAGAAAUGAUGCCAGCACAAGGCACAAGCUUCCCAGUUUCACUCCUCGGCCCCAGAUAACCCAGAGUCCCGCACCUCGCGGGUCUCCGUCUGAUGCCAGGUGCAUGCACAACCUGCUUAGGGCAGCGUAACCGUCAGGGUGAGUUUGCUUGGCUGACACAGAGAUGCCCACAUACAAAAUAUUUUAUCUGUAGCCAUAGCCACAGCGAGCCACACGACUGCAACAGCUCCUGUGUCAGCAGCAGAGAGCUGGGGGAGCCUCCACCCCAGCUCACCCACCAGCUGCUGGUGCCAGGGCUGGGGAAUUCCCCUGGGAUGAGGGAAAUGCGGAUCAAAUGGGGCAACAGGAGCGCUUCCCAACUCCCAGAAAAGCCUGGCGUGGGAUAGCCAAGCGACAUACCAGUGCUGGCGAACGAGUGCUCUCUGCUUCAUUUCUUCCUCACCGAGGGCAUGGAUGAGCGGUGACAUCUGCCCAAAGCACAUCCACUGCUGGCACCAGCCACGCUGCUGGGCGAAAUGCACGGGACAAGUCACCUCUCGGUGUGAGCUGAGCAGGCACUGCCACCAGGAUAGGGACUGAUCAGUGAUGCUUACAUUUUCCAAAGCUUUUUUUUUGGGGUCUCUUCAGCAUAGGGCGGAUGUGGUAAUCAGCUCUUUGCUCCCGAUUUUCAAGUUUAAUUUUUUUUUCCUUUUCCUUUUUUUCUCUUAAGAAAAAAAGAGAAAAAGAGAAAAAUAAAGAGAAAAAGAGAAAAAUAAAGAGAAAAAGAGAAAAAGAGAAAAAAGAAAAAAAAAGAAAAAAAAAAAGAAAAAAGAAAAAAACCAAGCAGGCAGCUGUAUUGCCACAGGCUAAACUCGCACAAAACCCCGACUGUGGUCCCACCAGCCAGGGUUCAGCCAGCCAGCCACAGAUGUAGUGAGGAUUUCCCUCCCAACUCAACCAAGGGAGAACACUGCGGGCUCCAAAAGUCCAGAUCAACCCUCUGUCUCUCAGCCGCGGGAGGAAGGCAGACACUCGGGCGUCAGGACCUGGGCUGCCCCUGCCUGCUGUUUAAAGCUUGAAUAACUGCCGGCCACCUCCUGCCACCAUACUGCAGAAGGGCACAGCACAUGACACAAGGCUCCCAUCACCACGCACGCCUACCAAACCAAACCAUAUCUCACUAUUAUUUUGUUUUAUUAUUUUUUCUUACUGUGUAUAUCACAUUAACAGAAGACAAAAAGGAAAGCUGAUUCUAGACCCUUCUCUUCAGGCGUGUGUACGCCUGGAGCCUGCCCCUGCCCUUCACCGGCAGCAACACCAGGCGCCCAGGGAUGGGGCGCUUGCACCGAACAGGGACAUUGCCGUGAUGCUGCGGCAUACCCAGCUCUUUCGUAGUACCCAGCCAUUACCCGGGAGGUGCCCCAGCCGAGGAGAAAACCUGCGGAAGCACCAGCAGGCAGAGCCAAGCUGGGUGUCCAGCACCCACCCAGCACCGGGCUGGCACCGCCAGGUCAGCAGUGUCCCUGCUGGCAUCCCAGUCUGGGCAGGUCUGGCACCGACACCUGCCCUGUCAAAUGCGUUUCCCACUCAAACAAGAUGUGGUUGUAUUUUGUGAAGAGCUAGCAGCUUGGACACAGUCGAAAUAUUGCUGCCGCUGCCCCUUGCUGGCUGUGCCUCCCUGAGGAGUGCCUGCCAGAGCGCAGCGCUUCUUGGCACAUUCCUGAAGGGCAUGUCCAGGGUUCUGCUUUCUGCAGCGGCAACCAAAAGUGGUGGGAGCCAUUUCUUUGAUUCUGUUUCCCAGGCUUUUCCGGCAAUAGUCUACCCCAACAGCUCCACCUUUUCUUACCUUUUCCAUAAAGAACGUUUUAUCAUUCCCAUGAUUUACUGUGCACAAACAACGCCAGGACCGCUGGAAGGAGGAGAAGGGGCACCGUGUUCCCGUGGCAGCUUUCUCUUGUCCCCCCCCAGGCGCAGCUCUUGGAGAGCAGGUACCUGGGUCAGCUUGUGAAAGAGAAGGACAAAUUUACCCACUUAGGUGCGCAAAAAAGCAGAACCGAGACGCUGCAGUUUCAGCGCACGCUGCUUGGCUGUACCUGCCACAAAUGCGGCAGGUAUGGGACAGACACAAAAUUAGGCUCUGAGAAGUAAUAUUUUGCACAUGAAAUCAAUUGCUGAAGUUAAAAAUAAAGAUCAUUUGAAAAUAACUAAUUAACACCAAUUGCAUCAACUUUGGAAAUGACUGCUAAGCAAGCUGCCUGAAGUCACCAAAGUGCCAGCAACAAGGUCAAAUACUACAGUGAACCACCGAACUGAAGAAGCAGCUAUCUCCAGAUUAUGCUUCUGCUCUGUUAUAGCAAAAAACCAGUUAUUCGGGUGCUUGCAUUUACACAGAGGUGGCAAAGGGCCUGGUAAACGAUGUAUUUUCCCCCUCCUGAGACUUGCGGAGGAUUCAUUUCAACAGCCAUCUGCUAACGACUACUCAGGGAUGCUCAGCUGAAGCCCGUAGAGAAAUACCUUGGAGGCAGCAAGCUGCUGACCUGUGGAGCGUGACGGGCUCGGCCACGCGCUGUGUGCUUCCCCGAGCGCACACCGGCUCCUGCAGAGGGCUGAUGCUGGCAGAGUGCAUCCCUCAGGACUCGGGGUGCUCCCACCCAUGGCUCGGGAAGGUAGCCUGCAGCAAAGCAGCUUCCACCGCGAUCUUGCUGAGCGAGGUCACCCUGAGCUCUUGGCUACUUUUCCUCUUCAGGCUCUUAAAAUCCUUGGGCUGUGCUGACAGAACACUGUGGCAUCGUAACACAGACGGCGUUCUGUGUCGGGGCCCCUCACCCCGGGAGCUGGAAUCGCGCACGCCCCAGCAAUGUGCGGUGGCUCACAGAGCCCUACCUGUGCCCCGCGUCAGGCAUUGCAGACCAGCCCUGUCCCAGCUGGUCACUAACCUCAAAGUUCCCUUUGGAACCCGCACCUCCUUGGGGCCCACCUCACGUCCCCCGGGCUUUUCACCACGUCUAAACUGAAGUUGGCCAGGGGUGUUAGCGUGGCAUCCUGGCUGAACGACAGCCCAAGCCAUAACCAGGACAAAGCCCAGCACUAACGCCCCAUUUCUCUCUGGGUUUGGUUUGGCUUUACAGCGGGUAUGAAAAAGGGCUGGACCUCAGGUCAUCUACAUGGUUGUUUGCACCUAGAGCAAACGGCUUCCAACACCAACCAUGAAGGGACCUCUUACAGACGUCUGCCUGCCGUGCCUGCUGACCCAACUGCUUAAUUGUCUUCUUUUAUACUUUGUCCAAAAGUUGUUUGCAUCAUUAAAGACCUUUUACACACUGCUGACUGCAGCUGUUUAUCCGCAGGUGCACAGCAAUUAACUUCUUAUUUAUACCGAAUCGUCCUUUAACUCUUACAUCAAAUGGAGUCAGAAGCUUUGAAGCAUUUCCAGCAGUAGCCGCAGCACCGGCACGAGGGCACGCGACUGCCGCCCUCACCACGCCGUGCCGGGCUCUGCGGCUUGUGCCACAGCCAGGGCGCACAAGGCACCGCGUCUCUCCUGGGACAGCUGCAGGCAAAAAGUGAAACUUACCCAGACUGCCAAACUGAAAUCCUGGAUGUUUCCACUUUCGGUUCGAAUUCCAGCUUCUUUUGGUUUGGCCAUAAUUGGAUUUUACCAUAAUUAAGUCACUAACUGAAUUCUAAACAAGAAAACAGAUAUUUAAUAUUCAGUAGUGGCAAAACAGGGGUUUUAUCCACUUGAAAAAAUAUUAAAUGCCUUUUUGGAAAUAGGAGUCUCCCCCCAACAAACUUUUCCUAUAAAUUUGGGUUUGAGGAACCAGCAAAGCCAGGUUUGAUGGGCUAGGGCGGCUCUGUGUCACCGCUUGUGUGGCCCUGGCAUUUAGGAAACAAUGGAUUUUUAGAAGGUAAAAUCUGCUUGCAGAGCAAGCCAGCAUCACUCCACACCCUAUUAAGGGAACAAGCAUGGGGUAACAGGAGAGUAAGGAAUAGAUGGCACUCACAGGGUGAUUUGGAACCGCUCUUUUAUUCUCUAGUACCUUAGGUUAUGACUCACACAAAAAGAUAACGGCUCACACUGAUUUUUGAAGAGGUGGUGCGGCACACAGUGACAUAUUCGGGUGCAAUUAGACAAGCUCCACAACCGAAAACGCUUCUGCG
Molecule: long non-coding RNA, 15001 nt
Organism: Falco peregrinus (peregrine falcon)
Lineage: Eukaryota; Metazoa; Chordata; Aves; Falconiformes; Falconidae
Exons: 5
Source: RefSeq, a predicted model, not a curated record